ACACACACACAUGGGCAGAGCCGGCGGCCCCCGAGUCGUUCUCGGGAGAAACGAGGUCAGAUGCGCCCACGUUGCCCGGGCUCUGCUGCGGUGGCAAGGCGGUUUCCUGCAGAGUCUUCGUGCAGGUGCUCAUGGCCACGCCACGGUCCGUCUGUUUCCCGGGGCCCACUCUAACCGCACCGCCGAAUCUGGUCGCUCAUCAGCAGUCGGGGAGACGUCUGAGUCUUCGGGCCUUGCAGGAGUCCAACACCGCCAUGUUGCUCCUGAAGUCUCGGUCCUGUUCCUUCCAAACUUUCGUUUUCUUUCGUCAGUCCCUCCCAGGUGCACCAGGACCUCUGGCUCUUGAGAGCUCCCUUCCUGGUACAGCUGCGCCUCCCCGGAGGAGAGGACCAGGGAGCCUGCCCACCUCCGGCAAGGCCUGCCCCCGCCUGGUGUAAACCCCUGCUCCCGUCUUCAGCGUCAGGCAGGGAGGCUCCUCAAAGCCUGGAAACUGCCAGACCCCACUCCAGAACCCCUGACUCGUGGGUCCCACAGGCCUGAGAAUCUCCGUUUCAGUUUCCCUGGUGACACUGAGGCCGCUGGUCCAGAGAGCAAACAGCCGGCAAGGUGGAAAGUUCGAGCUCAGCCAUCUUUAGACUUUUGAAUGUUCAGGAAUCACCAGGGGGUCCCUCCACCAGGUUCACCCGUUUUUGAUUUUGCUUAUUUACAUUUAGUCCCUGCACAUCUGCAAGGUGUACAGGAUGUCUUCUCAACCUGGGUACAGUGUGUAUUAGUCAGUCAGCGACAUUGCCGGCUACGUUUUCAUCCACAGCAGCUUCCAUGUUUGCGCCUUUUAGAUGUUUUGCUUAUUUUUUCCCUGGCCCCCUCCCUCUCACCCCCUUCCAAACCGUCUCUAGUAUCUAAGGUUGCCGUCCACCAGGGAGCUUAAUGGUGACGAUCCUAGAGCGUAUCAAUCGAGAGAAGUAGAUUGCGAGCCACGUUCCGGAAAGUGAAAGGAGACAGUGGAAUUCAUGCUCAAGGUCUAAACUUUGACUGUUUCAGCAUGCGGUCGGUGUAGGGGUCAUACAUCCCUCCCUCCGAGCCUCGCGGGCAGUUUCCUGCCUGGCCGGUGCUCGUGUCUCCGUGGCUAAGGCUGCCCGGACAGCGCGGUCCUCAGGUCUUCCCUGGGGACACCUCGGAAGCUGCCCUUCAGGGAGCACUCCCUGUCUCCCUCUUACCCCUGGACCGCUUCCCCCCAGCACCACAGACUUUCUCUAACCUGGCGCUUCUCUGCCCUGGCCGCAUACCAGGCGUUCCCUGAGGGGCUGUGAACACUCAGCGCUCAGUAUUCUGACUUGGGUAGGCCAGAAGGCAGUCGAGGUGACGCGGCUGCUUUCUGUGUCCAGGUUAUUCCAACACCCAGCUCGAGUCAUUUCCUGGGGCUCCCUGCGAUUCUUAUACCUGGAGAGCAAGCUACUCAGGACUGGCUUGGACCCGCCACACGCGCCCACACCCCACCCAGACCCACUGAGCUAGGGCCAGUGCUCCGUCAGCUCGCCCCCUCGUUCCUGAGCAUAUCGAAGUCUGAGAAGCACUGCCUCACCUGGAGCAAUUAAGACAUUAUGAAAUGCGUCUUUUUUCUCUGCCUGCAGAGGGCUGGCGCCAUGCAGCACCUCACUGAAGCAGAUAGAGGCUUGCAGCUCGGACUCCCACCCCACUGCCAUGCUUGCUGAUCUGGCUGCAAGACGCUCUCCCCUGUACCCAGACAUGCUGUGGAAACGCCGUGGAGCUCUGCAGCUGUUCCAGCCCAGCUCACCGCUUGGUCAGCAUAGCCGGCUGCUGGCCACGGGGGCGCAGCUGCAGGGGAGGAGGCUCUGGAGGCAAGUGCAGAGGGAGCCCUGGCAGAGGUGUGCCCUACCCCCACCCCGAAGGGGGAGCAAAACCUGGCCCGCCUCCCCCUCUCACCCAGUCCUGCACCCGGAGCCCCGCAGCCUGUGAGCGCCCUGCAGACCCAGCCGUCCCGUUAGCCUCCUCUCCCCAGGCGCUGAGUGCCUGGAGGCUGAGCGAAUGAGGACGCGUGCAUUCUCCCAGUCCUCACCUUCGCUUGGCCUGCCUUGGCCGUCCAGACCCUCUCUCCGUCACGCCUCCUGCUGUUGGUGAGCUUGCAAAGACCGUCGGCCUGAGUGGCCGCUGUCCUCGACACAGUCAACGAGACGUGUGCCUACAGCUGCUUCCAGGUCCAGCUUUGCUGGCAUGCUCUGCUUGGACACUCUGCUCUGCAGUCUGGAGCCACAUGGGAGCCGUGUUCAAGCCCCUGUCCCACCUAAGGGCAGAUGUAGUGGUACACACCUGCUCUCCACUGGGAGGCCGAGGCAAGAGGGUGAUGGCACGGUAAGACCCUUCUUUAGAUCGUUCUAAAUACAGACCGCCAGAGCCCCAGCCCAGACCUGGGGAGCUGGGACCUGGCUCCGCUCUCGACGUGCUCCCAGGGGCCCUGGGGCUGUAGCUUAGAGUCUAUCCCUCGCUGCCAUCUACCCUACAACCGGCCGCCAUUAGCAGGAAAUGGCCAGGGACUUCCGUUCAUCCAAGUUUGACACACACUUAGGGAGUUUUCGCCUUGUGCGAGGUACACGUUAAACAUGGAGACCGCAGGAGAGGGUGAGGUUCAGCGCCCACAUGGCCAAGCUCACCCGCAGCCCAGAGGGACUCGCGGACCAGCCAGGGAGAGGUACCUUUCCCAAAGGCCAUGUGAGAGGGUGGUACCAGGCGCGAUGAGGGUAAUGGGGGGUCCUGGUUCAGAGCCCAGAGCCCAUCCCAGCUGGCUCCUAAAGGCUGAGCAGGAAGAAGCCGCCGAAACCUCAGUGCCGCUGGCACAUGGAAUUCCGAGCAAAACACGGGUAACUCAGGCUGGAGGGGCAUGCUCCAAGGCUUUCCUCCCUCGCACCAGGAAGGAACUCCACUGUGAAAGCACCCACAGUGAACCCUGCAAUGAGUGAUAACUGCCCAGCUUCCAUGAUCCAGGGUGAGGUGCCCUGGGAGGCCUGGGGAGAGCCGCACUCCCUGGGACCUAAAUGAACAUCGCCCAUCUGAAGACAGUUUGCAGGAAAGCAAUCUUCACUGUUACUGAGUGUCUGCCCUGGUCCUGCCGACGCCCCUGCUUGACAGAGACCCCCUACCAUCUGGAAUUGUCAGGGGAAGAUGGACGGUGCACACAGAGGUUGCUGCCGGCAUUGGAAAACGGCUUGUCCCUGCCGCUCGGCAAGUUCUUUGAGCACAGUUGAUAGAAGGUUUCUGACCUUGAAUUAUUAGUUAACGGCAUCUCUGCAGAAGGAAUGAUUUAUCAGGCGAGUAAACUUUGCAAACGAGCGCAGGUCUGGAAUUGCUGCUCUUCCCUCGAAAGCUGAACAUGCAUUAUUUGCACUAUCUGUCUUCAUGGGGAAGCGACAUCCGAAGCAGAGGCUCAUACUUAACCUUGCCCUCGGAGCUCUGUGCAGGCGAGGCGUGAAGACAGGCCGGGGCAGCGUGGAGUCCCCGAACGUGCUGUGCAGGAGGUAGGAGGGCUCCCUUGCCACAGGUGCCACCAGCUGGAGUGGCCUCCUCGUUGAGGACCCCAUGGGGCGGUGCACAGCUCUCAAUAGCCACGUCCCCUCUCACGGGUCACCUGCAAAGCCAGCCGGGGUCAACACCACCAGCUGCUGGCAGGCCCCUGCUCUGCCGCCUUCUCGGUUCACUUGCUUUUGAGCAAAAGGUGUUGCUCUAGGGGAAGGAGUGUGUCCGCCCUGUCACUUGCCACACAGGGGACUCAUCCUCCCCUUCUCUCGGAGGGCCUGGUUCAGCCUGGAGCUCUGAGGACAAGGGCAGGGAAGCAGGAAUUCAGGGCCUCCUCAACCCUCACCGGCCUGCUCCCUUGCGCCAGCUACCUCCGGCACCUGGGAUGCUGCUCCUCCAGCUCACACUCACACGCACACUCACACCGUCCAGCAUUGCAGUGGGGCCCCCACUCACA
This is a long non-coding RNA of Tupaia belangeri chinensis (Chinese tree shrew), 3985 nucleotides long. RefSeq lists it as uncharacterized. The record is from RefSeq and is a predicted model, not a curated record. The transcript has 3 exons. Lineage: Eukaryota; Metazoa; Chordata; Mammalia; Scandentia; Tupaiidae.